GUUCCAUGAUGAGGACAAUUUUUAAUCAUCAUGUUAAAACGUUCAAAGGCCUCAUGGAACAUUUCACCUUGUUGUUGUUGAAAACUCCUCAACCCUUUCCUAGCAUC
RNAcentral lists this small nucleolar RNA (107 nucleotides) under Helianthus annuus (common sunflower). RNAcentral describes it as "Plant small nucleolar RNA R71". It matches the Rfam family "Plant small nucleolar RNA R71". From Rfam's summary of the family: R71 is a member of the C/D box family of snoRNAs containing the C (UGAUGA) and D (CUGA) box motifs. Multiple nearly identical copies of this snoRNA have been identified in Arabidopsis, and it is thought to function as a 2'-O-ribose methylation guide for 18S ribosomal RNA. Lineage: Eukaryota; Viridiplantae; Streptophyta; Magnoliopsida; Asterales; Asteraceae. The record is from RNAcentral.